UGCAGUCGACGGCAGCACAGUAAGAGCUUGCUCUUAUGGGUGGCGAGUGGCGGACGGGUGAGGAAUACAUCGGAAUCUACCUUUUCGUGGGGGAUAACGUAGGGAAACUUACGCUAAUACCGCAUACGACCUUCGGGUGAAAGCAGGGGACCUUCGGGCCUUGCGCGGAUAGAUGAGCCGAUGUCGGAUUAGCUAGUUGGCGGGGUAAAGGCCCACCAAGGCGACGAUCCGUAGCUGGUCUGAGAGGAUGAUCAGCCACACUGGAACUGAGACACGGUCCAGACUCCUACGGGAGGCAGCAGUGGGGAAUAUUGGACAAUGGGCGCAAGCCUGAUCCAGCCAUACCGCGUGGGUGAAGAAGGCCUUCGGGUUGUAAAGCCCUUUUGUUGGGAAAGAAAAGCAGUCGAUUAAUACUCGGUUGUUCUGACGGUACCCAAAGAAUAAGCACCGGCUAACUUCGUGCCAGCAGCCGCGGUAAUACGAAGGGUGCAAGCGUUACUCGGAAUUACUGGGCGUAAAGCGUGCGUAGGUGGUUGUUUAAGUCUGUUGUGAAAGCCCUGGGCUCAACCUGGGAAUUGCAGUGGAUACUGGGCGACUAGAGUGUGGUAGAGGGUAGUGGAAUUCCCGGUGUAGCAGUGAAAUGCGUAGAGAUCGGGAGGAACAUCCAUGGCGAAGGCAGCUACCUGGACCAACACUGACACUGAGGCACGAAAGCGUG
This 718-nucleotide ribosomal RNA is filed under the name Stenotrophomonas sp. RNAcentral describes it as "bacterial SSU rRNA". It matches the Rfam family "Bacterial small subunit ribosomal RNA", at positions 56 to 763 of the family's 1533-position model. The record is from RNAcentral. Lineage: Bacteria; Pseudomonadati; Pseudomonadota; Gammaproteobacteria; Lysobacterales; Lysobacteraceae.